This 21-nucleotide non-coding RNA is filed under the name Caenorhabditis elegans. The record is from RNAcentral. Lineage: Eukaryota; Metazoa; Nematoda; Chromadorea; Rhabditida; Rhabditidae.
UGAGUCCCAAUUAAGUAAUGU